GCAGGCUCUGCACUGUCAGCAUGGAAACAAAUGUGGGGUUUGAACCCAUGAACCAUGAGAUCACGACCCAAGCCGAAAUCAAGAGUCACUCAGUCAACUGAGCUACCCAGGUGCCCCUCAUUAGUGGGUUUUGAAAUCAAUUCACUGUGGGCCAUAGUUAAAAUACAUACGUAUCUCUAUGUAGGAAUGCAUUGCAAAGAGAAAAGGUGAGUAUCUUUCCAGUAUGUGUAUACUAGGACAUCACAAGGGAAAAUGUUUUCUUUAUUGGGGCCAAUGGUAAAAAAAGUUUGAAAGCCCCAUCCUGAGUCGUUAAGGAGUUCAGAGUCCCAGCUCCUUCCUUUUCCUUCCAGGGUACUGACCCUAUCAGUCAGACCAAGGUGGCUGAGCUACUUGGGGAAGGUGACAGUGGAAGGACCUCCCAGGAGGGCUCUGGGGGCAGCGUGAAAUAUGAAGGAGGUGAAGAUGCUUCUGUGGCUGUGGAGUGGUCAGGGGAUGGCAGUGGGACCCUGCAGAGGAGUGGUUCUCUGGGCAAGAUCCGGGAUGUGCUUCGUAGAAGCAGUGAACUCCUGGUGAGGAAGCUCCAGGGGACUGAGCCUCGGCCCUCCAGCAGCAACAUGAAGCGGGCAGCCUCCUUAAAUUAUCUGAAUCAACCCAGUGCAGCACCCCUCCAGGUCUCCCGGGGCCUCAGUGCCAGCACCACCGACCUCUCUUCAAGCAGCUGACAUUCAACCCACCCACCAGGUCUGCUGGGUCUCCCCCCAGACAGCCCUCUCAGCAUUCCCUAUUGCUCCUGGCUCUUCCAGCCCCAAGGUGGGACAGUGAAGGGAGAGCAGUUAACCAGAAGAUUGCUGCUGCCCUAGGGUCUUGGCUCCCUCCUCAGGAAUCUGCCUCAGGAAGGACCCUCAGGACAUCCUCUCCCCGUAGUCCUCUAGAGUAGCUAGCUCUGAGGCCCCCAAGAUGCAUAAGGAGCAGGUAUGCAUCUCAGAGAUGGAGCCUGCUGCUGGCUUUUCUGUCAGAGGGAUGGGGCUGGCCAGCCAGGCUGCCUUGAUCUGGCCUCUCUUGUUCCCUCUGCUGCCUCACUUCAGGUCCGUGUAUUUCACUUUUCUUAAAUAAAAGAAUCAGGUAACCA
Molecule: long non-coding RNA, 1129 nt
Organism: Panthera uncia (snow leopard)
Lineage: Eukaryota; Metazoa; Chordata; Mammalia; Carnivora; Felidae
Exons: 4
Source: RefSeq, a predicted model, not a curated record